Punica granatum (pomegranate) is the source of this 166-nucleotide non-coding RNA. Lineage: Eukaryota; Viridiplantae; Streptophyta; Magnoliopsida; Myrtales; Lythraceae. The record is from Rfam.
GUUGCUUCUUACUGGUGAACGCCCUCUGAUGAAUGCGGUGAGGGAUGUUCAUGUUUCCGAAGCAUAGACGAAUGAAUAGCUUUUCUUAAGCUUUUUGCCAGUUUUAAACAGCGCCGUGUACUCCUUAUCGGAGAUUGCACUGUGUUACCUGUCUCCUGGUACAAUC